UUAAGUAUUGGAAGGCUGCUCUAAGGUCUCCCUGGCGCCUUCUCUUCUCCAGGCUGAACAAGCCCAAUUGUUAGCCUGUCUCCAUAGAAGAGGUUCUCCACCCCUCUCAUCAUAUUUGUGGACUUCCUCUGGACUCACUCUAACAGGCCCAUGUCCUUCUUGUGUUGGGGGCCCCAGAGCUGGACGCAGUAUUCCAGGUGGGGUCUCACAAGAACAUAGUAGAGGGGCAGGAACACCUCCUUUGACCUGCUGGUCACACUCCUUAUCCACCAAUGGUGUAACUCUGUUGUGGAAGGCCACCAAAUUUGUCAGGCAUGAUUUGCCCUUAGUGAAGCCAUGUUGGCUGUCACCAAUCAUCUUAUUUUCCAUGUGUCUUAGCUUAAUUUCCAGGAGAAUCUGCUCCAUGGUCUUGAUAGGCACCAAGGUGAGACUGCCUGGCCUAUAGUUCCCUGGGUCUUCCCUUUUUCCCUUUUUAAAAAUGGGGGUUCAUUUUUUUUUCCCCAGUCAGUGGGAACUUCACUGGACUGCCACCACUUCUCAAAUAUGAUGGAUAGUGGCUUAGCAACUUCAUCUUCUAGUUCCCUGGGGAUCCACAGAUGCACCUCAGCAAGUCCUAUGCACCUUCAUGUCCUAUAGUCCUUUGCUUCUUAUCUUAUACCAAUUUACCACCCCACAUGAAAAUCUCAUCUUUUGCUAUAAGACUUCAUAAAAAACUUUUGGAUAUGCAAGUAAACUGUACCAGUGUGGUCACCCUUUUCCAUCUGUUUAUCCUCUGUCAACAUUCAUAGAUUUUGGUGGUGUGACUUCCUUCCUCAAAAGCUUUGUUGACUGUGCCAUUAUAUUGAAUUUAUCCAUGUGUAAAUAUAUUAUGUUCUUAGUUGCAAGUAGUAUAUCUGGUCUGGAAACCAAACAAAUUGUGUCUAGUUUUCUGGACCACCUCUGUUCCAGAACCAUUUUUCAAAUAGUGGUAUCACUUCUGCCACUUUCUGUAUGUCUGAGAUGGAGACCAGUUUUCAAUAUUUUAUUUUCUUCUGAACUUUUGGGUAACACCACAUGAAUGUAGGGAUUUACUAUUAAUUGUUAUGAUGUAUUUUAAAACCUCUUCUACUGACAUUUUGAUAUUAAACAUUUGCUCAGACUCAUUCCUUCAGAUUCCACUGUGAAAAAUUCCAUAAUCUUUCCUGUAAUGAAAUCUGAUACAGAGAAUUAAUUUGUGUUCUUCUGAUUCUGGCUAAAAUCCCCCAGGUUUUCACUAACAAAACUGACUUAGGUUUCCAUUACUAAAAAGUCUCCAUCAUUUCCACAGAAGUGUUACAGAUCACCAGGAGUUAAAGAAAUUGCAGAAGGAAAAGCCUUAUUAGCUCAAUUGUUUAUUCUCCUUGUCUGGUCUGAGAUCACUGUGAUGACUAUGCCAGAUAAAGUUAUCAUCUGUGGAAACUGGGCAUUCUAGUAUCUCUGCUACACCCAUUAGUGAAAUAUCAAGAUAUCUAGGAGACCUUUAAAAGUAGGGAUGUUAUUUUUUUAUUUUCUUCUUUUCUCUUCUUUUGCAAUUUAUUUUAUUGGAGUCUUGUUGGAAAUCUUCUUCCUGACAGACUAUAUAUUAAAAAAAAAAUAAUCUGCAGCUAUAGUCCCAGUCAAGAAGGAUUAAUUGACUUUAAUGGUUCCUUUGAAUUAAGACUGUUGCUGUCUACUCACAUGACUUCCAAGGCCUUUUUAUUUAUUCAACUUCCUUCAAUGAUUCUGGGCUCUGACUUCGCAUGUUGUGGAUCUUUAAUCAUGAAUUAUCAGCCAGCUGGAACAGCAGGAGAAGGAUAGUUCAUACAUGUACACAGAAGCUCCACUGUUUCCUGUCUAAUGCUGGCAGAGAAAUUACCAGAAGCUUACCACUCCAACAAGUUUUAAGCAAGGUAUCAUCUGUUCCUCAGAGCAUUUUCUCUUCUGCUUGCUUGGAAACAUGGUCCAGACAAGGAUCAGAUGGUUUUUGUCAUCUCCAGGAUAGAUUAUUGAGUUGUGUCACAUCUGAAGCUGAAUGUGAACAGAGUGUGGAAGUUCUGGCUUGUUUAGAAAUUGGCUGUACACUUUCUGAAGGGUUCAAGCCUGUGCUCAAAUCUUUCCCAG
Long non-coding RNA from Pezoporus occidentalis (night parrot), 2118 nucleotides. RefSeq lists it as uncharacterized. The record is from RefSeq and is a predicted model, not a curated record. The transcript is spliced from 4 exons. NCBI's taxonomy places the organism in Eukaryota, Metazoa, Chordata, Aves, Psittaciformes, Psittacidae.